AUAUCAAUAAGCGGAGGAAAAGAAACCAACAGGGAUUGCCCUAGUAACGGCGAGUGAAGCGGCAACAGCUCAAAUUUGAAAUCUGGCCCUAGGCCCGAGUUGUAAUUUGCAGAGGAUGCUUUUGGCAAAGCGCUUACCGAGUCCCCUGGAACGGGGCGCCACAGAGGGUGAGAGCCCCGUAUGGUAUGACGCCGAGCCUCUGUAAAGCUCCUUCGACGAGUCGAGUAGUUUGGGAAUGCUGCUCUAAAUGGGAGGUAAAUUUCUUCUAAAGCUAAAUACCGGCCAGAGACCGAUAGCGCACAAGUAGAGUGAUCGAAAGAUGAAAAGCACUUUGAAAAGAGGGUUAAAUAGCACGUGAAAUUGUUGAAAGGGAAGCGCUCGUGACCAGACUUGCGCCGGGCGGAUCAUCCAGCGUUCUCGCUGGUGCACUCCGCCCGGCUCAGGCCAGCAUCGGUUUUCGCCGGGGGACAAAAGCUUCGGGAACGUGGCUCCCUUCGGGGAGUGUUAUAGCCCGUUGCUUAAUACCCCGGCGGGGACCGAGGACCGCGCUUCGGCAAGGAUGCUGGCGUAAUGGUCAUCAGCGACCCGUCUUGAAACACGGACCGAGGAGUCAAGCAUUAGUGCGAGUGUUUGGGUGUAAAACCCGCACGCGUAAUGAAAGUGAACGUAGGUGAGAGCUUCGGCGCAUCAUCGACCGAUCCUGAUGUUUUCGGAUGGAUUUGAGUAGGAGCAUUAACGCUUGGACCCGAAAGAUGGUGAACUAUACUUGAAUAGGGUGAAGCCAGAGGAAACUCUGGUGGAGGCUCGCAGCGGUUCUGACGUGCAAAUCGAUCGUCAAAUUUGAGUAUAGGGCGAAAGACUAAUCGA
RNAcentral lists this ribosomal RNA (867 nucleotides) under Gaeumannomyces tritici. RNAcentral describes it as "eukaryotic LSU rRNA". It matches the Rfam family "Eukaryotic large subunit ribosomal RNA", at positions 40 to 938 of the family's 3401-position model. Lineage: Eukaryota; Fungi; Ascomycota; Sordariomycetes; Magnaporthales; Magnaporthaceae. The record is from RNAcentral.